AACGAACGCUGGCGGCAGGCUUAACACAUGCAAGUCGAACGCCCCGCCAGGGGAGUGGCAGACGGGUGAGUAACGCGUGGGAACAUACCCUUUCCUGCGGAAUAGCUCCGGGAAACUGGAAUUAAUACCGCAUACGCCCUACGGGGGAAAGAUUUAUCGGGGAAGGAUUGGCCCGCGUUGGAUUAGCUAGUUGGUGGGGUAAAGGCCUACCAAGGCGACGAUCCAUAGCUGGUCUGAGGGGAUGAUCAGCCACAUUGGGACUGGGACACGGCCCAAACUCCUACGGGAGGCAGCAGUGGGGAAUAUUGGACAAUGGGCGCAAGCCUGAUCCAGCCAUGCCGCGUGAGUGAUGAAGGCCUUAGGGUUGUAAAGCUCUUUCACCGAUGAAGAUAAUGACGGUAGUCGGAGAAGAAGCCCCGGCUAACUUCGUG
Molecule: ribosomal RNA, 431 nt
Filed under: uncultured bacterium
Lineage: Bacteria
Description: partial 16S ribosomal RNA
Rfam family: Bacterial small subunit ribosomal RNA
Source: RNAcentral